This 445-nucleotide ribosomal RNA is filed under the name uncultured bacterium. RNAcentral's name for it is "partial 16S ribosomal RNA". It matches the Rfam family "Bacterial small subunit ribosomal RNA", at positions 354 to 796 of the family's 1533-position model. The record is from RNAcentral.
GUGAGGAAUAUUGGUCAAUGGGCGGGAGCCUGAACCAGCCAAGUCGCGUGAAGGAAGAAGGAUCUAUGGUUCGUAAACUUCUUUUGCAGGGGAAUAAAGUGCAGGACGUGUCCUGUUUUGUAUGUACCCUGAGAAUAAGGAUCGGCUAACUCCGUGCCAGCAGCCGCGGUAAUACGGAGGAUCCGAGCGUUAUCCGGAUUUAUUGGGUUUAAAGGGUGCGUAGGUGGUUUGAUAAGUCAGCGGUGAAAGUUUGCAGCUUAACUGUAAAAAUGCCGUUGAAACUGUCGGACUUGAGUGUAAAUGAGGUAGGCGGAAUGCGUGGUGUAGCGGUGAAAUGCAUAGAUAUCACGCAGAACUCCGAGUGCGAAGGCAGCUUACUAAGCUACAACUGACACUGAAGCACGAAAGCGUGGGGAUCAAACAGGAUUAGAUACCCGUGUAGUCC